GACGAACGCUGGCGGCGUGCUUAACACAUGCAAGUCGAACGAUGAAGAAGAGAAACGCGAACUUCGGUUCAAAUUUCACUUCGGAUUAGUGGCAGACGGGUGAGUAACGCGUGAGCAACCUACCUCUUACAAAGGGAUAGCCUCGGGAAACCGUGAUUAAUACCAUAUGACACAUUCAUAAGGCAUCUUAAGAAUGUUAAAGCUACGGCGGUAAGAGAUGGGCUCGCGUCCCAUUAGCUAGUUGGUGAGGUAACGGCCCACCAAGGCGACGAUGGAUAACCGGCCUGAGAGGGUGAACGGUCACAUUGGAACUGAGACACGGUCCAAACUCCUACGGGAGGCAGCAGUGGGGAAUAUUGCACAAUGGAGGGAACUCUGAUGCAGCGACGCCGCGUGAGCGAUGAAGGAAUUCGUUUCGUAAAGCUCUGUUCUAUGGGAAGAAAAGGACUGUACCAUAGGAGAAAGCCCCGGCUAAAUACGUG
RNAcentral lists this ribosomal RNA (482 nucleotides) under uncultured bacterium. RNAcentral's name for it is "partial 16S ribosomal RNA". It matches the Rfam family "Bacterial small subunit ribosomal RNA", at positions 28 to 507 of the family's 1533-position model. The record is from RNAcentral.